ACUCGUCUGGCUCAGUUGGUAGAGCAUGUGACUCUUGAUCUCGGGGUUGUGAGUUGGAAGCCCAUGCUGGGUA
This 73-nucleotide transfer RNA is filed under the name Canis lupus familiaris (dog). It matches the Rfam family "tRNA". From Rfam's summary of the family: Transfer RNA (tRNA) molecules are approximately 80 nucleotides in length. Their secondary structure includes four short double-helical elements and three loops (D, anti-codon, and T loops). Lineage: Eukaryota; Metazoa; Chordata; Mammalia; Carnivora; Canidae. RNAcentral also lists the same sequence under 1 other name. The record is from Rfam by way of RNAcentral.